GCCCAGGUGGUGGAAUUGGUAGACACGCCACUUUGAGGGGGUGGUGUCCGACGGAUGUGCAAGUUCAAGUCUUGUCCUGGGUA
RNAcentral lists this transfer RNA (83 nucleotides) under Bacteroidales bacterium. Its description in RNAcentral is "tRNA-Leu". It matches the Rfam family "tRNA". Rfam says of the family: Transfer RNA (tRNA) molecules are approximately 80 nucleotides in length. Their secondary structure includes four short double-helical elements and three loops (D, anti-codon, and T loops). The record is from RNAcentral. Lineage: Bacteria; Pseudomonadati; Bacteroidota; Bacteroidia; Bacteroidales.